AACGAACGCUGGCGGCAGGCUUAACACAUGCAAGUCGAACGGAUCCUUCGGGAUUAGUGGCAGACGGGUGAGUAACGCGUGGGAACGUACCCUUUGCUACGGAAUAACUCAGGGAAACUUGAGCUAAUACCGUAUGUGCCCUACGGGGGAAAGAUUUAUCGGCAAAGGAUCGGCUCGCGUUGGAUUAGCUAGUUGGUGGGGUAAUGGCCUACCAAGGCGACGAUCCAUAACUGGUCUGAGAGGAUGAUCAGCCACACUGGGACUGAGACACGGCCCAGACUCCUACGGGAGGCAGCAGUGGGGAAUAUUGGACAAUGGGCGCAAGCCUGAUCCAGCCAUGCCGCGUGAGUGAUGAAGGUCUUAGGAUUGUAAAGCUCUUUCACCGGUGAAGAUAAUGACGGUAGCCGGAGAAGAAGCCCCGGCUAACUUCGUG
This 433-nucleotide ribosomal RNA is filed under the name uncultured bacterium. RNAcentral's name for it is "partial 16S ribosomal RNA". It matches the Rfam family "Bacterial small subunit ribosomal RNA", at positions 29 to 507 of the family's 1533-position model. The record is from RNAcentral.